UCAAGACUACAAUUGAUGGCCUAAGCAUUGAGGAGACAAAGGAAAUGAGAAAGAGAGGACUAGCUGUUCCCCCUUUAACAAAACUUGCCAAGAAUGGUUAUUAUGGUAGUCUGGUGCCCAAGGUCAGAGAUGCUUUCCUCUCCUGUGAACUGGUUCGGAUAGACUGCAAGUGUCUUGAGAAGAGUGAUUACAAGAAAAUAGGCUGCAAACUCAGGCAAUUAUUUUCGCAAUGUCUAGUGAUGGUUAUACAGCAGCUGAAAAAUAUGGGCAAGAUGGGACUCUCCUUUUGUGUGUUUCAUAACUUAGUUGGCGUUUUAAAUUUUAGUCUCUUGAGUUAUUUAGUUGUCAGAUAUUUUCCAAUGUUGA
Long non-coding RNA from Quercus robur (English oak), 366 nucleotides. RefSeq lists it as uncharacterized. The record is from RefSeq and is a predicted model, not a curated record. The transcript has 3 exons. Lineage: Eukaryota; Viridiplantae; Streptophyta; Magnoliopsida; Fagales; Fagaceae.